Molecule: ribosomal RNA, 357 nt
Filed under: Vaucheria litorea
Lineage: Eukaryota; Xanthophyceae; Vaucheriales; Vaucheriaceae
Description: partial Eukaryotic large subunit ribosomal RNA
Rfam family: Eukaryotic large subunit ribosomal RNA
Source: RNAcentral
CUAAUCGAACCAUCUAGUAGCUGGUUCCCUCCGAAGUUUCCCUCAGGAUAGCUGGCAGUGGAUUUUUCAAACAGUCUUGUCAGGUAAAGCGAAUGAUUAGAGGCAUUGGGGGUGAAACACUCUCGACCUAUUCUCAAACUUUUAAUGGGCAAGUAGAGCGACUUUCAGGGUGCUUAAUUGACCCCGCUCAUUCAGAUGCAUCACUGCUUAGUGGGCCAUUUUUGGUAAGCAGAACUGGCGAUGUGGGACGAUCCGAACGCUUAGCUAAGGUGCCAAACCUUGCGCGCUCAUCAGACCCCUUAAAAGGUGUUGGUUGAUAUUGACAGCAGGACGGUGGCCAUGGAAGUCGGAACCCGC